RNAcentral lists this ribosomal RNA (767 nucleotides) under uncultured Russula. Its description in RNAcentral is "partial 28S ribosomal RNA". It matches the Rfam family "Eukaryotic large subunit ribosomal RNA", at positions 216 to 962 of the family's 3401-position model. Lineage: Eukaryota; Fungi; Basidiomycota; Agaricomycetes; Russulales; Russulaceae. The record is from RNAcentral.
GAAUCCCGUCUUUGGCACGGAAACCCCAGGGCUUUUGUGAUGCGCUCUCGAAGAGUCGAGUUGUUUGGGAAUGCAGCUCAAAAUGGGUGGUGAACUCCAUCUAAAGCUAAAUAUUGGCGAGAGACCGAUAGCGAACAAGUACCGUGAGGGAAAGAUGAAAAGCACUUUGGAAAGAGAGUGAAACAGUACGUGAAAUUGUUGAAAGGGAAACGCUUGAAGUCAGUCGCGUCGACCGAGACUCAGCCUUGCCCUUGGCUUGGUGUACUUCUCGGCUGACGGGUCAGCAUCAAUUUUGCCCCUUGGAUAAUGGCGAGGGAAAUGUGGCACCUUUACGGUGUGUUAUAGUCUCUUGUCGCAUGCAAGGGUUGGGAUUGAGGAACUCAGCACGCACCUUUGGGUGUCGGGGCUUUGCCCACGAUACGUGCUUAGGAUGUUGGCGUAAUGGCUUUAAACGACCCGUCUUGAAACACGGACCAAGGAGUCUAACAUGCCUGCGAGUGUUCGGGUGGAAAACUCGUGCGCGCAAUGAAAGUGAAAGUUGGGACCUCUGUCGUGGAGGGCACCGACGCCCGGACCAGACCUUCUGUGACGGCUCUGCGGUAAAGCAUGUAUGUUAGGACCCGAAAGAUGGUGAACUAUGCCUGAAUAGGGUGAAGCCAGAGGAAACUCUGGUGGAGGCUCGUAGCGAUUCUGACGUGCAAAUCGAUCGUCAAAUUUGGGUAUAGGGGCGAAAGACUAAUCGAACCAUCUAGUAGCUGGUUCCUGCC